RNAcentral lists this non-coding RNA (30 nucleotides) under Rattus norvegicus (Norway rat). Lineage: Eukaryota; Metazoa; Chordata; Mammalia; Rodentia; Muridae. The record is from RNAcentral.
UCUCACGGUCUGGUGUUGUUUCCACCAUUU